RNAcentral lists this ribosomal RNA (497 nucleotides) under uncultured bacterium. RNAcentral's name for it is "partial 16S ribosomal RNA". It matches the Rfam family "Bacterial small subunit ribosomal RNA", at positions 28 to 507 of the family's 1533-position model. The record is from RNAcentral.
GAUGAACGCUGGCGGCGUGCCUAAUACAUGCAAGUCGAGCGAACGGACGAGAAGCUUGCUUCUCUGAUGUUAGCGGCGGACGGGUGAGUAACACGUGGAUAACCUACCUAUAAGACUGGGAUAACUUCGGGAAACCGGAGCUAAUACCGGAUGAUAUUUUGAACCGCAUGGUUCAAAAGUGAAAGACGGUCUUGCUGUCACUUAUAGAUGGAUCCGCGCUGCAUUAGCUAGUUGGUAAGGUAACGGCUUACCAAGGCAACGAUGCAUAGCCGACCUGAGAGGGGGAUCGGCCAACCUGGAACUGAGACACGGUCCAGACUCCUACGGGAGGCAGCAGUAGGGAAUCUUCCGGAAUUGGCGGAAGCCUGACGGAGCAACGCCGCGUGAGUGAUGAAGGUCUUCGGAUCGUAAAACUCUGUUAUUAGGGAAGAACAUAUGUGUAAGUAACUGUGCACAUCUUGACGGUACCUAAUCAGAAAGCCACGGCUAACUACGUG